RNAcentral lists this transfer RNA (71 nucleotides) under Marmota monax (woodchuck). RNAcentral describes it as "tRNA.Ala". It matches the Rfam family "tRNA". Rfam says of the family: Transfer RNA (tRNA) molecules are approximately 80 nucleotides in length. Their secondary structure includes four short double-helical elements and three loops (D, anti-codon, and T loops). The record is from RNAcentral. Lineage: Eukaryota; Metazoa; Chordata; Mammalia; Rodentia; Sciuridae.
GGGGUUGUGGCUUAGUGGUAGAGCGCUUGCCUAGCAUGCAUGAGGCACUGGGUUGGAUCCCCGGCACCACA